UUCGACGUUUGGCCAUUUAUCCUAUUUGAAUAUUUUUAUGAUUAAUAUUUUUAUUGUUACUAGAUGAUAAAAUAUAAAUAAUACUUUAUACGUGACUAAUUUUUUUAAAUUUUUGUACAAAAUUUUUAAAUAAGAUGAAUGAUCAAACAUUGGACACGGAAAAACA
This 166-nucleotide microRNA precursor is filed under the name Oryza brachyantha (malo sina). Its description in RNAcentral is "MIR812 microRNA precursor family". It matches the Rfam family "MIR812 microRNA precursor family", at positions 27 to 191 of the family's 205-position model. The record is from Rfam by way of RNAcentral. Lineage: Eukaryota; Viridiplantae; Streptophyta; Magnoliopsida; Poales; Poaceae.